UACGGAGGGGGCUAGCGUUGUUCGGAAUUACUGGGCGUAAAGCGCACGUAGGCGGAUUUGUAAGUCAGGGGUGAAAUCCCGGGGCUCAACCUCGGAACUGCCUUUGAUACUGCAAAUCUCGAGUCCGGAAGAGGUGAGUGGAAUUCCUAGUGUAGAGGUGAAAUUCGUAGAUAUUAGGAAGAACAUCAGUGGCGAAGGCGGCUCACUGGUCCGGUACUGACGCUGAGGUGCGAAAGCGUGGGGAGCAAACAGG
RNAcentral lists this ribosomal RNA (253 nucleotides) under uncultured bacterium. Its description in RNAcentral is "partial 16S ribosomal RNA". It matches the Rfam family "Bacterial small subunit ribosomal RNA", at positions 524 to 776 of the family's 1533-position model. The record is from RNAcentral.